AUUGAACGCUGGCGGCAUGCCUUACACAUGCAAGUCGAACGGUAACGCGGGGCAACCUGGCGACGAGUGGCGAACGGGUGAGUAAUGCAUCGGAACGUGCCCAGAAGUGGGGGAUAGCCCGGCGAAAGCCGGAUUAAUACCGCAUGAGACCUGAGGGUGAAAGCGGGGGAUCGCAAGACCUCGCGCUUUUGGAGCGGCCGAUGUCAGAUUAGCUAGUUGGUGGGGUAAAGGCCUACCAAGGCGACGAUCUGUAGCUGGUCUGAGAGGACGACCAGCCACACUGGGACUGAGACACGGCCCAGACUCCUACGGGAGGCAGCAGUGGGGAAUUUUGGACAAUGGGCGCAAGCCUGAUCCAGCCAUGCCGCGUGCGGGAAGAAGGCCUUCGGGUUGUAAACUGCUUUUGUACGGAGCGAAAAGGCUCUCUCUAAUACAGGGGGCUCAUGACGGUACCGUAAGAAUAAGCACCGGCUAACUACGUGCCAGCCGCCGCCGUAA
This 498-nucleotide ribosomal RNA is filed under the name uncultured bacterium. RNAcentral's name for it is "partial 16S ribosomal RNA". It matches the Rfam family "Bacterial small subunit ribosomal RNA", at positions 29 to 523 of the family's 1533-position model. The record is from RNAcentral.